UAGGGAAUUUUCGUCAAUGGGCGCAAGCCUGAACGAGCAAUGCCGCGUGAACGAGGAAGGUCUUCGGAUCGUAAAGUUCUGUUGAAGGGGGAAAAAAGAGCGGAGAGAGGAAAUGGUCUCCGAUUGAUAUCCU
This 133-nucleotide ribosomal RNA is filed under the name uncultured bacterium. Its description in RNAcentral is "partial 16S ribosomal RNA". It matches the Rfam family "Bacterial small subunit ribosomal RNA", at positions 355 to 481 of the family's 1533-position model. The record is from RNAcentral.